GACGAACGCUGGCGGCGUGCUUAACACAUGCAAGUCGAACGGAAAGGCCCUGCUUUUGUGGGGUGCUCGAGUGGCGAACGGGUGAGUAACACGUGAGUAACCUGCCCUUGACUUUGGGAUAACUUCAGGAAACUGUGGCUAAUACCGGAUAUGAGCUCCUGCUGCAUGGUGGGGGUUGGAAAGUUUCGGCGGUUGGGUAUGGACUCGGGGGUUGUCAGGUUGUUGGUGGGGUAUUGGCUUACCAAGGCUUUGACGGGUAGCCGGCUUGAGAGGGUGACCGGCCACAGUGGGACUGAGAUACGGCACAGACUCAAACGGGAGGUAGCAGUGGGGAAUAUUGCACAAUGGGCGGAAGGCUGAUGGAGAAACGUCGCGUGCGGGAUGACGGCCUUCGGGGUGUAAACCGCUUUAGCCUGUGACGAAGCGUGAGUGACGGUAACGGGUAAAGAAGCACCGGCUAACUACGUG
This 468-nucleotide ribosomal RNA is filed under the name uncultured bacterium. RNAcentral's name for it is "partial 16S ribosomal RNA". It matches the Rfam family "Bacterial small subunit ribosomal RNA", at positions 28 to 507 of the family's 1533-position model. The record is from RNAcentral.